ACUAGAGUGCCCUCUCCCCCCCUUACUCUGAAUCUUCAAAGAUUCAGUAGACACUCCUAGACUGCUGGAAGUAGGGGGCGUGGCCCCUCCCUAGCACGGUAUUGGUCCAUUCAAUACCAAUUCCACUCCAGGAAGUAGUAGGGAGGGACCCCUGAGGCACUCUGGGUAUUACAAUUCCCCUGGCCACAACAUUUUAAAACCCACACUGCUGAAGUUUAUAUUCUAAAAGAAGGUAAAACAUAAAGGUGAUGAGUAAAGGGGAAUUUUGACUGAAGAUAUCUUCAUCCAAAUGGCAGCAGUUUCUGAAGGGGGAAAAGGUAGUCUAUAUUGGUGGGUGCUGAAGAGAGGAAGAGUCCUGCAUCUAGACUGCUGCCAUGUUUACCUGGAAGUUCCUGCAAUGAAUCUUAAAUGAUGCAAUUAUUGCUUUUGAUCAAUGAAUAUAAUGUGAAUCCAAUGUAUUUCUGGACUGUUUAUGAUUACUUUGAUAGCUUAGAUUAUUUUUAAAAAAAUUUUCCCUGAAUUAUAAUAGUUAAAAGUCAAGGAAACAAUUUAAAAAAUAUAGCCUGUUUCAAGGGGAGUUCCUUAAAUUCAUUGAAAUAAGUCAGAAAUUUGCUAACUCAAGUUUAACACAUUCAAAGACCCUUUUCAGUUCACUUCAAGGCAGACUAGAAAGAACAGGGCUGGGAAUCAGGCAGGAAAAAAAUAGCAAGAUCAAGAUAGACUGCAUAGAUAUAACAAAACAACAGUAAGUUUAAUCGAGGGAAAUAAAAUUAAAUUGGUUGUUAAUCA
RNAcentral lists this long non-coding RNA (789 nucleotides) under Monodelphis domestica (gray short-tailed opossum). Its description in RNAcentral is "lncRNA (ENSMODG00000042958.1)". Lineage: Eukaryota; Metazoa; Chordata; Mammalia; Didelphimorphia; Didelphidae. The record is from RNAcentral.